Molecule: ribosomal RNA, 253 nt
Filed under: uncultured bacterium
Lineage: Bacteria
Description: partial 16S ribosomal RNA
Rfam family: Bacterial small subunit ribosomal RNA
Source: RNAcentral
UACGUAGGGUGCAAGCGUUAUCCGGAAUUAUUGGGCGUAAAGAGCUCGUAGGCGGUUUGUCGCGUCUGCUGUGAAAACCGGAGGCUCAACCUCCGGCCUGCAGUGGGUACGGGCAAACUAGAGUGCGGUAGGGGAGAUUGGAAUUCCUGGUGUAGCGGUGGAAUGCGCAGAUAUCAGGAGGAACACCGAUGGCGAAGGCAGAUCUCUGGAACGUAACUGACGCUGAGACGCGAAAGCGUGGGGAGCAAACAGG